Molecule: ribosomal RNA, 432 nt
Filed under: Pseudomonas sp. ICMP 3272
Lineage: Bacteria; Pseudomonadati; Pseudomonadota; Gammaproteobacteria; Pseudomonadales; Pseudomonadaceae
Description: bacterial LSU rRNA
Rfam family: Bacterial large subunit ribosomal RNA
Source: RNAcentral
GUUAUAUGGUCAAGUGAAGAAGCGCAUACGGUGGAUGCCUUGGCAGUCAGAGGCGAUGAAAGACGUGGUAGCCUGCGAAAAGCUUCGGGGAGUCGGCAAACAGACUGUGAUCCGGAGAUGUCUGAAUGGGGGAACCCAGCCAUCAUAAGAUGGUUAUCUUGUACUGAAUACAUAGGUGCAAGAGGCGAACCAGGGGAACUGAAACAUCUAAGUACCCUGAGGAAAAGAAAUCAACCGAGAUUCCCUUAGUAGUGGCGAGCGAACGGGGACCAGCCCUUAAGUUGUAUUGAGAUUAGCGGAACGUUCUGGAAAGGACGGCCAUAGUGGGUGAUAGCCCUGUACGCGAAAAUCCCUUUCCAAUGAAAUCGAGUAGGACGGGGCACGAGAAACCUUGCCUGAAUAUGGGGGGACCAUCCUCCAAGGCUAAAUACU